AGCGAACGCUGGCGGCAGGCCUAACACAUGCAAGUCGAACGGAUCCUUCGGGAUUAGUGGCGGACGGGUGAGUAACACGUGGGAACGUGCCCUUUGGUUCGGAACAACUCAGGGACACUUGAGCUAAUACCGGAUGUGCCCUUCGGGGGAAAGAUUUAUCGCCAUUGGAGCGGCCCGCGUCUGAUUAGCUAGUUGGUGAGGUAACGGCCCACCAAGGCGACGAUCAGUAGCUGGUCUGAGAGGAUGAUCAGCCACACUGGGACUGAGACACGGCCCAGACUCCUACGGGAGGCAGCAGUGGGGAAUCUUGCGCAAUGGGCGAAAGCCUGACGCAGCCAUGCCGCGUGAAUGAUGAAGGUCUUAGGAUUGUAAAAUUCUUUCAGCGGGGACGAUAAUGACGGUACCCGCAGAAGAAGCUCCGGCUAACUUCGUG
RNAcentral lists this ribosomal RNA (433 nucleotides) under uncultured bacterium. Its description in RNAcentral is "partial 16S ribosomal RNA". It matches the Rfam family "Bacterial small subunit ribosomal RNA", at positions 29 to 507 of the family's 1533-position model. The record is from RNAcentral.